UACGUAGGGUGCAAGCGUUGUCCGGAAUUAUUGGGCGUAAAGAGCUCGUAGGCGGUCUGUCGCGUCGGCUGUGAAAACCCGAGGCUCAACCUCGGGCCUGCAGUCGAUACGGGCAAACUAGAGUACUGCAGGGGAGACUGGAAUUCCUGGUGUAGCGGUGAAAUGCGCAGAUAUCAGGAGGAACACCGGUGGCGAAGGCGGGUCUCUGGGCCGAUACUGACGCUGAGGAGCGAAAGCGUGGGGAGCAAACAGG
Molecule: ribosomal RNA, 253 nt
Filed under: uncultured bacterium
Lineage: Bacteria
Description: partial 16S ribosomal RNA
Rfam family: Bacterial small subunit ribosomal RNA
Source: RNAcentral